Molecule: ribosomal RNA, 288 nt
Filed under: uncultured bacterium
Lineage: Bacteria
Description: partial 16S ribosomal RNA
Rfam family: Bacterial small subunit ribosomal RNA
Source: RNAcentral
GUAAUCCUACGGGACGCAGCAGUGGGGAAUAUUGGGCAAUGGGCGCAAGCCUGACCCAGCAACGCCGCGUGAAGGAAGAAGGCUUUCGGGUUGUAAACUUCUUUUAUGAGGGACGAAAGAAAUGACGGUACCUCAUGAAUAAGCCACGGCUAACUACGUGCCAGCAGCCGCGGUAAUACGUAGGUGGCAAGCGUUAUCCGGAUUUACUGGGGGUAAAGGGCGUGAAGGCGGGACUGCAAGUCAGAUGUGAAAAUUAUGGGCUGAACCCAUAACCUGCAUUUUAAACUG